GAUGAACGCUGGCGGCGUGCCUAAUACAUGCAAGUCGAGCGAACAGACGAGGAGCUUGCGCCUCUGACGUGAGCGGCGGGCGGGUGAGUCACGCGUGGAUAACCUACCUAUAAGACUGGGAUAACCUCGGGAAACCGGCGCUAAUACCGGAGAAUAUAUUGAACCGCGUGGUGCAAUAGAAAAAGUCGGUGUUGGGGGCUCUUAUAGAUGGAUCCGCGCCGGAUUGGCUGGUUGGGAAGGUAACGGCUUACCAAGGCGACGAUGCGUAGCCGACCGAAGAGGGUGGUCGGCCACCCUGGAACUGAGACACGGACCAGACUACUACGGGAGGCAGCAGUAGGGAAUCUGCCGCAAUGGGCGAGAACCUGACGGAGCAACGGCACGUGAGUGAUGAAGGUCUUCGGAGCGUAAUGCUCUGUUAUUGGGUAUGAACAACUGUGUAAGUAGCUAUGGACGUCUUGACGGUACCUGGUCAGAAAGCCACGGCUAACUACGUG
This 497-nucleotide ribosomal RNA is filed under the name uncultured bacterium. RNAcentral describes it as "partial 16S ribosomal RNA". It matches the Rfam family "Bacterial small subunit ribosomal RNA", at positions 28 to 507 of the family's 1533-position model. The record is from RNAcentral.